RNAcentral lists this small nuclear RNA (100 nucleotides) under Ictidomys tridecemlineatus (thirteen-lined ground squirrel). Lineage: Eukaryota; Metazoa; Chordata; Mammalia; Rodentia; Sciuridae. The record is from RNAcentral.
CUGCUUUGGCAGCACGUACACUAACAUUGGAAGAAUAUAGGUAAUAUUUGGCUGGCCCCUGUGCAAGGAUUACACACAAAUUCUUGAAUCCCAUAUUUUA